RNAcentral lists this ribosomal RNA (253 nucleotides) under uncultured bacterium. RNAcentral's name for it is "partial 16S ribosomal RNA". It matches the Rfam family "Bacterial small subunit ribosomal RNA", at positions 524 to 776 of the family's 1533-position model. The record is from RNAcentral.
UACGUAGGGGGCAAGCGUUAUCCGGAUUCACUGGGUUUAAAGGGUGCGUAGGAGGGCAGGUAAGUCAGUGGUGAAAUCCCCGAGCUUAACUUGGGAACUGCCGUUGAUACUAUCUGUCUUGAAUACCGUGGAGGUGAGCGGAAUAUGUCAUGUAGCGGUGAAAUGCUUAGAUAUGACAUAGAACACCAAUUGCGAAGGCAGCUCGCUACACGAAUAUUGACUCUGAGGCACGAAAGCGUGGGGAUCAAACAGG